RNAcentral lists this ribosomal RNA (515 nucleotides) under uncultured bacterium. RNAcentral's name for it is "bacterial SSU rRNA". It matches the Rfam family "Bacterial small subunit ribosomal RNA", at positions 26 to 518 of the family's 1533-position model. The record is from RNAcentral.
AGGACGAACGCUGGCGGCGUGCCUAACACAUGCAAGUCGAACGGGGAUUUGUUUCGGCAGAAUCCUAGUGGCGAACGGGUGAGUAACGCGUAGGCAACCUGCCCUCCGGCCGGGGACAACACUCCGAAAGGGGUGCUAAUACCGGAUACGAAGUCUGUGCCGCAUGGUACGGAUUUGAAAGAUGGCCUCUAUUUAUAAGCUAUCGCCGGGGGAUGGGCCUGCGUCCGAUUAGCUGGUUGGUGGGGUAACGGCCUACCAAGGCGACGAUCGGUAGCCGGUCUGAGAGGAUGAACGGCCACAUUGGGACUGAGACACGGCCCAGACUCCUACGGGAGGCAGCAGUGGGGAAUCUUCCGCAAUGGGCGCAAGCCUGACGGAGCAACGCCGCGUUGAGUGAGGAAGUUCUUCGGAACGUAAAGCUCUGUUGUUCCUGACGAACCUCCCCUCUAUCAACAACGGAGGGGACUGACGGUAGGGAACGAGGAAGCCACGGCUAACUACGUGCCAGCAGCAGC